Molecule: long non-coding RNA, 856 nt
Filed under: Felis catus (domestic cat)
Lineage: Eukaryota; Metazoa; Chordata; Mammalia; Carnivora; Felidae
Description: lncRNA (ENSFCAG00000050433.1)
Source: RNAcentral
CUUGAACAUCUUGGAGAUUUGUCCCAUUUCAGUGAAGAAGGGUCAUGGUGCAUUGUCUUUAUUUGUUUUUCAUACUUGCAGCUCAUUUUUUUCCAGUUUGGACUAGAUAGAACAUAGUACGGUCUCCAUUAUCUUCACUUUUUGUUAAUAUGUUUUGUUUUCCAGAGAGAAGGAAGAAAAAGAGGGAGGAAAGAAAGAUCAAGGAAAGAAAGAGAAAGAAGAGAGGGAAGAAGGACCGAAGGAAAGCCGACCAGGAAAAAAAAGUGCUUCUAUCAAUUUGGUUACUUCUUCAAAGAAUAUGAAAAGUCUCCAACAAAAGUAUACAAGACUUUAUUAUUUUGCUGAAGAAAUGGAUAUGUUCAGCCUGCUAUUUGGGGCAGGACUUCAAGGACUGGAAUGAAAGACACAACCCUUUUCGGAUAUGGAAUCCUUGGAUGAAAUGUGCUUUGAACAAAAUUCUUUCUCCGUUUAGUUUGACACUACUCAGCCUUGUAAUAGGCCAAGCCAUGGAUUCCUUUGCAACCUGCCUGUGAAAAAGACAUCACCUGGUUACUUCAGAGCUCUGCUCCCUUCCUGUUAAGGAUGCAGAGUUGACUCUUGGCACAACGAAGCUUAGAGAAACCUGGAAUGUUUUAUGGAUGCUGUCUGGCAGUUUUGAUUCAGAACUAGAGGAAGACCAACAGCAAAACAAGCUGGUCCCAGGUCAGCUGAAAAAAGAGCUCACCAGUAAGAUGGACUCCAGAAGAGAUAAGCACCAUGUAGGAGAAUUUUCCAGGUAUGUCACUGCUACCACAUACAUGAAAGCAUAGCAGAGUCCCAAUGUGGUUAUGCUUAGGAAAAAAAAAAAAAGAUGGCA